GAUGAACGCUGGCGGCGUGCUUAACACAUGCAAGUCGAACGAAGUGAUUAUUCGCAUGUCCUCCGGACAUUGAAUAAAUUCGUGAGAGGCGGACGUGUGAGACACACGUGUGUAACUUGCCUCACUCAGGGGGAUAGGAGUUGAUAACGACUGCUAAUACCGCAUAAGACGAUAGCUCGUCAAGGUCCGUUGUUCUGAGACUUAUCGAUGUAUGAUGGCCCCGCGCCGCAGUAGCUAGUUGGUAAGGUAACGGCUUACCAAGGCAACGACGGGUAUCCGACCUGAGAGGGUGAGCGGCCACACUGGAACUGAGACACGGUCCAGACUCCUACGGGAGGCAGCAGUAGGGAAUCUUCCGCAAUGGGCGAAAGCUUGACGGAGCAACGCCGCGUGAGUGAUGAAGGUCUUCGGAUCGUAAAACUCUGUUAUUAGGGAAGAACAAAUGUGUAAGUAACUAUGCACGUCUUGGCGGUACCGAAUCAGAAAGCCACGGCUAACUACGUG
RNAcentral lists this ribosomal RNA (504 nucleotides) under uncultured bacterium. RNAcentral describes it as "partial 16S ribosomal RNA". It matches the Rfam family "Bacterial small subunit ribosomal RNA", at positions 28 to 507 of the family's 1533-position model. The record is from RNAcentral.